GACCUCAUUAAUGGUGAGGUUGGAGGGCGAGAGAUCCCUCUGUAGCGCUGGACGCGCGGGUCGGAGCGCGACCUCACUUGACCUCAUCAAUGGUGAGGUCGGAGGAUGGAAAAUUUUUCCAUAGUGCAGGAUACGCAGGCCGGAGCCCGACCUCAUCUUGACCUCAAUACAGUUCAAAUGGUCUUUUGGUUUUUAAGAAUGUCCAAAUUGUAGAAGUCACGCUGCUUCUCAUACAAUAAGUAACCCCCAUCUUAGAAAACUGAAAAGAAUAUGAUCGUACUGAGUCCUAGUGCUAGGUUUUAAAUCACGUACCUUUACUUAAGUUGGGCCAUGCAUCACGCUGGGUUCAUGAAUAAAGAGCACGGAUUUGAAGCUUAUUUAAGGCUUGGAAAGCAGGGCAUCAUAUCUGUUCAGGACAACCACCUUAGCCUAUAAUGAUUUCAUGUGGACCUCAACUUGGAGAACAUGUCCCAGUUUCGCUGUUUGGCGUCCCGCUUUGGAUCUAAAUGUGACGUCCAAAAUGGCAAACAUGGAGAGGAGAGCCUUGCACUCCAAACCAGCUUAGAAUAGAUGGCUACCCCAUGGCCCGAUUUUGUGCAAGUGCCUUUCCACCGACAAUCGGGUUAAAUUCGCUAACCAAAGUGGGUGCGUUUCCAUUCUUGACAGUCUAAUAAUUCUAGCCGAAAAACUCGGAAAAAGUUUUGGUUCCGCCUCUUCUGCCAUUAAAUAUACGAAUGGCCUGGCUUAUAAAUGAACAUUACUGAUUGAGGAGAGAACAGGACUUCGUGUCAGGUACGUUACAUGUGACACCUAAUGAUCAAGUACAGAGAUAGCUAAGAUUCAAACCAUCCAAAUUUAAAAUUACUGAGGCAUCCAAAAAAUAAAGCAGUAACUUCAACAUUGUUUAUAAGGUUAGAGAUUCUGGGAUCAUUCAAAUAAUUACCUCAUAUGAGAGAGAGAGAGAGAGAACAAAAAAUUACAUUCUACACCACACACAGCACGUUGCGGUGGUGUCUUGAAUUGAGAUCAAUAGAAACGAGACGAGAUGAUUGGUAUGGUAUAUCACGAUAG
This 1071-nucleotide long non-coding RNA is filed under the name Phoenix dactylifera (date palm). RNAcentral describes it as "long non-coding RNA (PDAC_LNC000769)". The record is from RNAcentral. Lineage: Eukaryota; Viridiplantae; Streptophyta; Magnoliopsida; Arecales; Arecaceae.